AGAGUUUGAUCAUGGCUCAGAACGUACGCUGGCGGCACGCCUAACACAUGCAAGUCGAACGAAGUAGCAAUACUUAGUGGCAGACGGGUGAGUAACAUGUAGGUAUCUACCCUUUGGCCUGGAAUAACACGAGGAAACUUGUGCUAAUACCGGAUAAGUCUUUACGGAGAAAGCUUUAUGCACCAUUGGAUGAGCCUGCACUUGAUCAGUUUGUUGGUAGGGUAAUGGCCUACCAAGACUAUGAUCAAUAGCUGAUUUGAGAGGAUGAUCAGCCACAUUGGGACUGAGACACGGCCCAAACUCCUACGGGAGGCAGCAGUGGGGAAUCUUGCACAAUGGAGGAAACUCUGAUGCAGCGAUGCCGCGUGAGUGAAGAAGGCCUUUGGGUUGUAAAGCUCUUUCGUCGGGGAAGAAAAUGACUGUACCCGAAUGAGAAGGUCCGGCUAACUUCGUGCCAGCAGCCGCGGUAAUACGAAGGGACCUAGCGUAGUUCGGAAUUACUGGGCUUAAAGAGUUCGUAGGUGGUUGAAAAAGUUGGUGGUGAAAUCCCAGAGCUUAACUCUGGAACUGCCAUCAAAACUUUUCAGCUUGAGUUUGAUAGAGGAAAGCAGAAUUUCUAGUGUAGAGGUGAAAUUCGUAGAUAUUAGAAAGAAUACCAAUUGCGAAGGCAGCUUUCUGGAUCAUUACUGACACUGAGGAACGAAAGCAUGGGUAGCGAAGAGGAUUAGAUACCCUCGUAGUCCAUGCCGUAAACGAUGUGUGUUAGACGUUGGAAAUUUAUUUUCAGUGUCGCAGCGAAAGCGAUAAACACACCGCCUGGGGAGUACGACCGCAAGGUUAAAACUCAAAUGAAUUGAC
Molecule: ribosomal RNA, 858 nt
Filed under: uncultured Alphaproteobacteria bacterium
Lineage: Bacteria; Pseudomonadati; Pseudomonadota; Alphaproteobacteria
Description: bacterial SSU rRNA
Rfam family: Bacterial small subunit ribosomal RNA
Source: RNAcentral